Molecule: non-coding RNA, 113 nt
Organism: Acanthosepion pharaonis
Lineage: Eukaryota; Metazoa; Mollusca; Cephalopoda; Sepiida; Sepiidae
Source: the annotation of a GenBank genome assembly
UUACGGCCACAUCAGGUUGAAACACCGGUUCCCGUACGAUCACCGAAGGUAAGCAACGUCGAUCCUGGUCAGUACCUUGAUGGAUGACCGCAUGAGCAUACCAGGUUCCGUAA